This 379-nucleotide ribosomal RNA is filed under the name uncultured bacterium. RNAcentral's name for it is "bacterial SSU rRNA". It matches the Rfam family "Bacterial small subunit ribosomal RNA", at positions 29 to 423 of the family's 1533-position model. The record is from RNAcentral.
AACGAACGCUGGCGGCAGGCCUAACACAUGCAAGUCGAACGCCGUAGCAAUACGGAGUGGCAGACGGGUGAGUAACGCGUGGGAACAUACCCCUCGGUUCGGAAUAACUCAGGGAAACUUGAGCUAAUACCGGAUACGUCCAAGGUUUUAAUCGACCUUGGAGAAAGAUUUAUCGCCGGAGGAUUGGCCCGCGUCUGAUUAGCUUGUUGGUGAGGUAAUGGCUCACCAAGGCGACGAUCAGUAGCUGGUCUGAGAGGAUGAUCAGCCACAUUGGGACUGAGACACGGCCCAGACUCCUACGGGAGGCAGCAGUGGGGAAUCUUACGCAAUGGGCGAAAGCCUGACGCAGCGACGCCGCGUGAGGGAUGACGGCCUCGGU